RNAcentral lists this ribosomal RNA (482 nucleotides) under uncultured bacterium. RNAcentral describes it as "partial 16S ribosomal RNA". It matches the Rfam family "Bacterial small subunit ribosomal RNA", at positions 30 to 507 of the family's 1533-position model. The record is from RNAcentral.
AUUGAACGCUGGCGGCAUGCUUUACACAUGCAAGUCGAACGGUAACAGGCCGCAAGGUGCUGGCGAGUGGCGGACGGGUGGGUAAUGCAUCGGAACGUGCCCAGUCGUGGGGGUUAGCUACUCGUCAGAGUAGCUAAUACCGCAUACGAUCUAUGGAUGAACGCGGGGGACCGUAAGGCCUCGCGCGAUUGGAGCGGCCGAUGUCAGAUUAGGUAGUUGGUGGGGUAAGGGCUCACCAAGCCAACGAUCUGUAGCUGGUCUGAGAGGACAACCGGCCACACUGGAACUGAGACACGGCCCAGACUCCUACGGGAGGCAGCAGUGGCGAAUGUUGGACAAUGGGCGCAAGCCUGAUCCAGCAAUGCCGCGUGCAGGAAGAAGGCCUUCGGGUUGUAAACUGCUUUUGUACGGAACGAAACGGCUCUGGUUAAGACCCGGGGCUAAUGACGGUACCGUAAGAAUAAGCACCGGCUAACUACGUG